RNAcentral lists this ribosomal RNA (397 nucleotides) under uncultured bacterium. Its description in RNAcentral is "partial 16S ribosomal RNA". It matches the Rfam family "Bacterial small subunit ribosomal RNA", at positions 523 to 918 of the family's 1533-position model. The record is from RNAcentral.
AUACGUAGGGGGCGAGCGUUGUCCGGAAUGAUUGGGCGUAAAGGGCGCGUAGGCGGCGCGGUAAGUCUGGAGUGAAAGUCCUGCUUUCAAGGUGGGAAUUGCUUUGGAUACUGCCGCGCUUGAGUGCAGGAGAGGUUAUCGGAAUUCCCGGUGUAGCGGUGAAAUGCGUAGAGAUCGGGAGGAACACCAGUGGCGUAGGCGGGUAACUGGACUGCAACUGACGCUGAGGCGCGAAAGUGUGGGGAGCAAACAGGAUUAGAUACCCUGGUAGUCCACACUGUAAACGAUGAAUGCUAGGUGUAAGAGGUAUCGACCCCUUUUGUGCCGGAGUCAACACAAUAAGCAUUCCGCCUGGGGAGUACGGCCGCAAGGUUGAAACUCAAAUGAAUUGACGGGG